UACGGGGGGGGCAAGCGUUGUUCGGAAUUACUGGGCGUAAAGGGCUUGUAGGUGGCCAACUAAGUCCGACGUGAAAUCCCUCGGCUUAACCGGGGAACUGCGUCUGAUACUGGAUGGCUGGAGUGUGGGAGAGGGAUGCGGAAUUCCAGGUGUAGCGGUGAAAUGCGUAGAUAUCUGGAGGAACACCGGUGGCGAAGGCGGCAUCCUGGACCAUUACUGACACUGAAAAGCGAAAGCCAGGGGAGCAAACGGG
Molecule: ribosomal RNA, 253 nt
Filed under: uncultured bacterium
Lineage: Bacteria
Description: partial 16S ribosomal RNA
Rfam family: Bacterial small subunit ribosomal RNA
Source: RNAcentral